CAAAGGUAGCAUAAUAAUUUGUUUUUUAAUUGGAAACUAGUAUGAAUGGUCAUACGAGGGAUUGACUUUCUUUAUCUUACUUAAAUUAAUUUUAUUUUUCUGUGAAAAAGCAGAGAUUUCAUUAGUAGACGAUAAGACCCUUUAAAACUUUAUUCAUUAUAGAAGUAUAAUUUUGUUAGGUUUUAAUAGUGUACUUUUUUAAUGAGUUUUGUUGGGGCGACAGGUAAAUUUAUUUAACUUUAUUUUUGUUUUUCACUAAUUAGUGUUUAUUUGAUCCAGAUUUAGUUUUGAUUAUAAGUUUAAGUUACUU
This 310-nucleotide ribosomal RNA is filed under the name Cimex lectularius (bed bug). RNAcentral describes it as "partial large subunit ribosomal RNA". The record is from RNAcentral. Lineage: Eukaryota; Metazoa; Arthropoda; Insecta; Hemiptera; Cimicidae.